RNAcentral lists this unclassified non-coding RNA (415 nucleotides) under uncultured Piloderma. RNAcentral's name for it is "sequence contains ITS2". The stretch from base 1 to 155 matches the Rfam family "5.8S ribosomal RNA". Lineage: Eukaryota; Fungi; Basidiomycota; Agaricomycetes; Atheliales; Atheliaceae. The record is from RNAcentral.
AACUUUCAACAACGGAUCUCUUGGCUCUCGCAUCGAUGAAGAACGCAGCGAAAUGCGAUAAGUAAUGUGAAUUGCAGAUUUUCAGUGAAUUAUCGAAUAUUUGAACGCAUCUUACGCUCCUUGGUAUUCCGAGGCGCAUGCAUGUUUGAGUGUCCUCAAAUUCUCAACUCCAAGGGUUUCACGACCUUUUGGGGAUUGGACUUGGAGGUGCCGGCCGCAUAUUUGGUCAGCUCCUCUCAAAUGCAUCAGCGGAAUUCAACCUUUGGCUUCCGGACGUCAGUGUGAUAAUCAUGUUGCGCUGUCGUUUGAUCCUCAGAGUCCGCUUAUAAUGGUCUUUGGACAAAUCAUCAUCAAAUUUGACCUCAAAUCAGGUAGGACUACCCGCUGAACUUAAGCAUAUCAAUAAGCGGAGGCU